RNAcentral lists this non-coding RNA (45 nucleotides) under Schistosoma haematobium. Lineage: Eukaryota; Metazoa; Platyhelminthes; Trematoda; Strigeidida; Schistosomatidae. The record is from RNAcentral.
UUCAAGCUGUCGAGUCCUAAAUAGGACGAAACGCGCGUCCUGGAU